CAUUAGUACCCAACAAAAGAACCAACCAAAAAAAUAUUAACUGCGCGUUUAAGUUACUUUGUGCUCUGUCUUUUAGAUAACAUAAAAUGUCGGUUAAUUCUUUUACUUACGGCCUUUUGAUAUUUAAAAUGCUGUAUUUUUCAAUCGCUCGCGUUUGGGCACGAUGACACUGUCAAUGUUCAGAAACUUAAACUUUUACAAAGGCGACGCAACAUGGCGGACGAUCACCGGAACGACCGCGCGAGUGGGCUAACUUUAAUUGCCCGUUAAUGGAGAGAGAUAGAGAGAGAAAAAAAAAUCUCUUCAGAUUGAACGACCUGUGCUCCCUGCCGCCUCCGUGCGUUUCAUUUUUUUCUUCUUUUUUUUUUCGCCGUUUUACUUUCAAGAAGAGUAAUCACUGGAAUGUGUUCUCCUGUAUAGCUAAAUCCUGCUUUGUUUAAUGACGAUCAGCGUAAUGAUAAAUAAAUUAGCUACCUGUUGUAAAUGCCAUUCCCGGCGGGCGGCGCUGCGGCAGCUUCUCCUGAUGUGCUGGGCGGGUUUCCUUAUUUUCUUCACCUUUUUCUCGGUUUUACGGACCAAGAUGUGAAGAAGAAUUGACUUUAGUCUAGUGCCUGAGAUGAAUGACUAUUACAAGUAGGUGGCUUCCGCACGAUAAAAGAACGCAUGCGCACCGCAGAGGCAGAAAUUUUAAAAUUUCGGUACGGAAACGGGAUGCGAGUAGAGUAUUUAAAGUUUCCGCGCAUGACUUAAGUAAAGAGCCUUGAAGGUAUGCAAUUUUUAUUCAGACUUAACUAUAUCACGCGCGAAAUAUUAGUUAGAGUCUGUUAACAAGUCAAACAACACUUUUCAUGCAUUUUCCGAGAGUAAUACACUAUUUUAUACUGUUUUUCCUUCUAUUUUUUUCUUCAUUUUCAUAGUCGGAUGUCUGAAGAAGUGUGACGUUCAGUUCUUAAACUCAUAAUGAAAUUGUCAUGGCCACGAUCUAAUUACGCACCUAUGAAAUCCGUCUCUGUCAAAGAGUUAUCAAUGUUUCUUCGUUUCUCUAACGAAAGAACGUAG
Molecule: long non-coding RNA, 1059 nt
Filed under: Bemisia tabaci
Lineage: Eukaryota; Metazoa; Arthropoda; Insecta; Hemiptera; Aleyrodidae
Description: lncRNA ENSSSA1UGG004217
Source: RNAcentral